AUGACAGCACUAUGUCUCAGCUGGGAGGGGGCCCCACUUUGGGCAGUAGGGACUGGCGGCGGGGCCAUGGGGCUGUGCAGCCGCUCAGUCAGCUCGGUGACAGGCAUGGCAUGGACCCCAGCACGGCUGGGGGGAGCCCUUUGGCCUCUACACCCCCACCUCCAGGGGGACUGGCUACUCCGAGAGGGCACCCUGCGGAGGAGGGUCCGCGGCCACCUCUACCCAUGCCCAUGGCAAUGGUUACCAGGAGACGGGCAGCGGUCACCAUAGAGACGGGAUGCUGUACCUGGGCUCCCUAGUCUCGCUGGCGGAUGCUCUACCUCUGCACAUCGCACCCAGGUGGUGCAGCUCGCACAGUGGUUUCAAGUGCCCCAUUUGGUCCAAGUCUGUGGCUUCUGAUGAGAUGGAAAUGCACUUUAUAACGUGUCUGAGCAAACCUCGCCUCUCCUACAACGAUGACGGACGACGCGCUGACUAAAGACGCGGGCGAGCGUGUGAUCUGCCUGGAGGAGCUGCUUCAGGGGGACACGGUAGCCAGGCCGCCCUGCCUGUGCAUCUAUCACAGAAGCUGCAUGGUUUGAAGUGAACGGAUCUUGUCCGCAACACCCUGCGGACGGACCCUGCUGGGCUUGCUUGCAGAUUUUUCUCAUAGGGACAGACAGCCCCUUGUCCCCCGAGAGGAGGCUCAUCGGACACUGGGGCAGAGCUGAGCUGGGGACACCCGUGGGAACAGGGCACCCCUUCUGCACUGACUUCAGAAAAUGGUUCUCCCUUCCUCCCUGAGGACACCAAAUUGGAUGAGAGCGAGUUUGAGAGAAGAAGGAAUAAACUGCCAUCCUUCCCCUCACCCUUCAGCCCAGGAGGAAAAGGGCAUUUUCUUUUUUACCUUUGAAAGGCAUUGUGGGUCUGUCUUUAAAGUGUUUACAAAAAAAAGUAAGUUAUGCAGAAAAUUCCUUUAUGACCUUUCCAGUCUAUCUCUGUUCAACCUCCACCCCCCCAAAAGUAACCAUACAAUGUUCCAACUUUUUCCCCACCAUAGAUGUGUUCUAUAUCUUCUCGAAUUUCAUAUAAAUAGAACCAUAUAGUAUGUAUGUACCCUUUUGUAUGAGUAUUUUUGUACGCAGAAUUUUUAUUUUAAGAUAGAUUCAAGUCCUUAUAUGAUUUAGUUGAUUGAUGCAUAUUAUUGCUGAGUAGUAUUCUAUUAUAUUAAUAUAUA
Microcebus murinus (gray mouse lemur) is the source of this 1216-nucleotide non-coding RNA. The record is from RefSeq and is a predicted model, not a curated record. Lineage: Eukaryota; Metazoa; Chordata; Mammalia; Primates; Cheirogaleidae.